This 1127-nucleotide ribosomal RNA is filed under the name Serinicoccus sp. Its description in RNAcentral is "bacterial SSU rRNA". It matches the Rfam family "Bacterial small subunit ribosomal RNA", at positions 359 to 1490 of the family's 1533-position model. Lineage: Bacteria; Bacillati; Actinomycetota; Actinomycetes; Micrococcales; Ornithinimicrobiaceae. The record is from RNAcentral.
GGAUGCUGCAUGGGCGCAGCCUGAUGCAGCGACGCCGCGUGAGGGAUGACGGCCUUCGGGUUGUAAACCUCUUUCAGCCUUGACGAAGCCCCUUUUUGGGGUGACGGUAGGGGCAGAAGAAGCACCGGCUAACUACGUGCCAGCAGCCGCGGUAAUACGUAGGGUGCGAGCGUUGUCCGGAAUUAUUGGGCGUAAAGAGCUUGUAGGCGGUUUGUCGCGUCUGCUGUGAAAGCCCGGGGCUUAACUCCGGGUCUGCAGUGGGUACGGGCAGGCUAGAGUGUGGUAGGGGAGACUGGAAUUCCUGGUGUAGCGGUGGAAUGCGCAGAUAUCAGGAGGAACACCGAUGGCGAAGGCAGGUCUCUGGGCCAUGACUGACGCUGAGAAGCGAAAGCGUGGGGAGCGAACAGGAUUAGAUACCCUGGUAGUCCACGCCGUAAACGUUGGGCGCUAGGUGUGGGUCCCAUUCCACGGGGUCCGUGCCGCAGCUAACGCAUUAAGCGCCCCGCCUGGGGAGUACGGCCGCAAGGCUAAAACUCAAAGGAAUUGACGGGGGCCCGCACAAGCGGCGGAGCAUGCGGAUUAAUUCGAUGCAACGCGAAGAACCUUACCAAGGCUUGACAUACACCGGACGAUCGCAGAGAUGUGGUUUCCCUUUGUGGCUGGUGUACAGGUGGUGCAUGGUUGUCGUCAGCUCGUGUCGUGAGAUGUUGGGUUAAGUCCCGCAACGAGCGCAACCCUCGUUCCAUGUUGUCAGCAACACCUUUUGGGUGGUUGGGGACUCAUGGGAGACUGCCGGGGUCAACUCGGAGGAAGGUGGGGAUGACGUCAAAUCAUCAUGCCCCUUACGUCUUGAGCUUCACGCAUGCUACAAUGGCCGGUACAAAGGGCUGCGAUCCCGUGAGGGGGAGCGAAUCCCAGAAAGCCGGUCUCAGUUCGGAUUGGGGUCUGCAACUCGACUCCAUGAAGUCGAGUCGCUAGUAUCGCAGAUCAGCAACGCUGCGUGAUACGUUCCCGGGCCUUGUACACACCGCCCGUCAGUCACGAAAGUCGGUACAUCCGAAGCAGGUAGCUAUUCCCUUGGUGGGAGGAGCUGUCGUAGGUGGAACUGGUGAUUGGACUAAGUCACA